CUGCCGUGCCUGGCGGGAGCUUUUCCCAACGCCAUUGGACCCUCAGAGCGUAAACAGGACUUUGGUGUCGUGGAGUGUCGCGGGAGCGGGAUUAGAGCAGAUUCAUCGCAGAUCUCGCUCCUGUCCAGCUGCCCAUGAGCUUUCUUCCAGUUGCCGUGGCUUACCUGGCGGUACUGGUCAUAGGCGCUGCAAUUUUGGCUGUCGCAAUGAAUCAGCCCAUGGAGACCUCUGUGAAUGCCGGGGGUGCACGUGGUGAUCCUGGGGGGAAACAAAAGGCCAGUCCCUCAUGCUGCAGCCAAUGCCUUGCUGACCAGAAGAAGAAAGCCUGAUCCCCAUGGGCAGUGAACAGAAGGGGCUGCAUCAAUGGCCUGACUGCCCUCUGAGCAGCAGCUGAUGGCAUGCUGGAACAGAAACAACUCCCUGUGCUCAGUGCAAGGGAGCAGAAGCAAGAUCCCUUCCUUCCAAGCACACGGAUUCGUCUCCAAACGGCUGGUGUUGGAAAGUCCAAUCCCUCCCACAGCUUCUGCUUUCAAUGAUUUGGAAUUCAGCAGUAACUAAGCAAUAAAUGCA
Long non-coding RNA from Melozone crissalis (California towhee), 570 nucleotides. RefSeq lists it as uncharacterized. The record is from RefSeq and is a predicted model, not a curated record. NCBI's taxonomy places the organism in Eukaryota, Metazoa, Chordata, Aves, Passeriformes, Passerellidae. The transcript is spliced from 6 exons.